AUUGAACGCUGGCGGCAUGCUUUACACAUGCAAGUCGGACGGCAGCACAGAGAAGCUUGUUUCUUGGGUGGCGAGUGGCGCACGGGUGAGAAACAUAUCGGAACGUACUGAGCAGUGGGGGAUAACUAAUCGAAAGAUUAGCUAAUACCGCAUAUUUUCUGAGGCAGAAAGCAGGGGACUUAUGGGCCUUGCGCCUUUCGAGCGGCCGAUAUCUGAUUAGCUAGUUGGUGGGGUAAAGGCCUACCAAGGCGACGAUCAGUAGCGGGUCUGAGAGGAUGAUCGGCCACACUGGAACUGAGACACGGCCCAGACUCCUACGGGAGGCAGCAGUGGGGAAUUUUGGGCAAUGGGCGCAAGCCUGAUCCAGCCAUGCCGCGUGUCUGAAGAAGGCCUUCGGGUUGUAAAGGUCUUUUGUCAGGGAAGAAAAGAGCGGGGUUAAUACCCCUGUCUGAUGACGGUACCUGAAGAAUAAGCACCGGCUAACUACGUG
Molecule: ribosomal RNA, 490 nt
Filed under: uncultured bacterium
Lineage: Bacteria
Description: partial 16S ribosomal RNA
Rfam family: Bacterial small subunit ribosomal RNA
Source: RNAcentral